CCAACAUUGGCAAAGUAAAGUGAUAGGAACAGGAGCAUUUCACAUUUUCAAAUGGACAUCAUUCAUUUCAGCUUUCAAGAUUACAGUCUGAGGAUUGAGGCAGGACCUCAUGGCAAGCCAACCUGCUGCUCUCUGCUCUCAGUGGAUAAACAGACCAUGUGCCGACAGCAUGCAGUUUGUCUGAGGUCGCCGAUCUGUUUCUGGAGCCUGGAUAGUUUGCCUACAAAAUGGGACCACAAGCAAUGUGACAUACAGGAUCAGUUCAGCCACUGGCUGAAAUCAUUUGGGAUACCACUGAGUACUAGGUGUCUUUCUUAUAAUUAGUCUUUAUGGUCCAGGGAGAUGUUCAAAUGCAAGUUACUUUCAGCUGAAACUAAAGCAUUCAUCAAGUGCUAAACAGUGUUACAAAGAGAGAAAAAACUGGCCAAACCCUUUGAUAGUGUUGACAUUUUUGAGGCAAAAGCUCUAUGUACAUUUUCAGAGGUCAUCGGAAAGUAAACACCUAUUAAUGGUUACCUCAUGACAACCAGAUAAACAGGUCGAGGUAAUGAUUAAGCCAGUGUUGGUCAGGUUAUAGGCCAUGUGUGCAUAAAGACAUGUUGGGUGAAAGCAGGUUCAUGCCGGUGCUAAGGAGCGAGUGUAAUUGUUUUAGGACAGCGUUCUUUGACCUAUGAUGUGUGAAUGUAGUACAGUAGUUCUAGAGAGAACAACUCAAGCAUUUUUGAUAUAGUAAUGUCACACAAACACUCGAUUUGUGGAGAACUCUGUAAAAUAUGCCUGUUGGAAGCCAUCACUAUAGUUAUGCAGGUAUUGUGGGUGGGUGGUUGGCUGUUCCGACUACAACGAGGAGAGAAGAAAGCACUCUCAAGUUCACAAGGUCACUUCCAGCCCAGGGAUAAAGUAAACUGAGCAAAACUGUGCAAGCUGCAACUUAUCAGUCUUCUUGCAUGCCAGGACUUUUUUUUCUUUCUUUCCAUCGCAAUUUCUUCCUUUAUCAUUUUUGUGUUUUGAAAACAAAGUGGGCUGAGCUCAGCACCAAAUGUCAGUUAGACCCUC
Osmerus eperlanus (European smelt) is the source of this 1056-nucleotide long non-coding RNA. RefSeq lists it as uncharacterized. The record is from RefSeq and is a predicted model, not a curated record. The transcript has 3 exons. NCBI's taxonomy places the organism in Eukaryota, Metazoa, Chordata, Actinopteri, Osmeriformes, Osmeridae.